Molecule: non-coding RNA, 63 nt
Submitted as: unclassified sequences
Source: Rfam
CCUGUGGAGCGUCACAGCAAACGCGAGUAGCUAAGGCAAAAGCGGACGCGGACGAAGCAGGAA